CCUACGGGUGGCAGCAGUGAGGAAUAUUGGUCAAUGGACGAGAGUCUGAACCAGCCAAGUAGCGUGAAGGAUAACUGCCCUAGGGGUUGUAAACUUCUUUUAUAAAGGAAUAAAACGAGGCACGUGUGCCGGUUUGCAUGAACGUUAUGAAUAAGGAUCGGCUAACUCCGUGCCAGCAGCCGCGGUAAUACGGAGGAUCCGAGCGUUAUCCGGAUUGAUUGGGUUUACAGGGAGCGUAGAUGGGUUGUUAAGUCAGUUGUGAAAGUGUGCGGCUCAACCGUAAAAUUGCAAUUGAUACUGGCAGUCUUGAGUACCGUUGAGGUAGGCGGAAUUCGUGGUGUAGCGGU
Molecule: ribosomal RNA, 347 nt
Filed under: uncultured bacterium
Lineage: Bacteria
Description: partial 16S ribosomal RNA
Rfam family: Bacterial small subunit ribosomal RNA
Source: RNAcentral